Long non-coding RNA from Oreochromis aureus, 1411 nucleotides. RefSeq lists it as uncharacterized. The record is from RefSeq and is a predicted model, not a curated record. The transcript is spliced from 3 exons. NCBI's taxonomy places the organism in Eukaryota, Metazoa, Chordata, Actinopteri, Cichliformes, Cichlidae.
GUGUCUGUGUGUGUGUUGUGUUUGUGUGUGUCAAACUGUACUAACAAAAAACAGCCUGAAAAUCUGGAGACACUCCAGAGUCUCCGGAAAAACUACACAAGACGCUGAUUUACCAUCAUCACCGUGUACCCCUGUGUGGGCACCACAUUCCUGCCUUUUUCUAUCACUUUUUGAGAUCUGAAAAUCUGAAAAGAAGACGGACGUUGUACACCCAGAGAACAGAAGAUGUUUGGAAGGAUUUAUAUCUGAGCUGCCACGCCUUAGGAGAGCAGCGGAGACAAUUUACUUAUUGCUGUUCAAGGAUUAAAGGCUUAAGAACACAAUCAAUCCAUUUUAGACUUACAGGAACUCGGAGUCUGAACCAAGUAGUGCAAGAGCUGUGUAAGGAAAAUACACCUUUUCACCUGGAAGUUGACUAAAACUCCAUUUACAACAAACAAGAAACACUGAAGAUGCCUGCACGUCGUUUUGACUACCCUAAAGGAAUGGAGGAUGAGGAAAAAAAGAAAAUAUUCAAACAUAAAACUCUGAUGAAAAACCCAGAGAUUCUCUAUGAAGACACAUAUCAAACUGGUAUAAGAUGCAACCUCAUUUUCUUCACCCGAUCUGGAGCAGACUACAGGGCUGCAAUAGAAGAUGCGUACCCUCAAUCCAAGGAUAUUCAAAUGGCCAACAAACUCAAACUUGAGCUCUCUGAUGGAGGCACUGUGUCCAUAUUUCCCAGUGGAAAGAUUUUAAUUCAAGGUACAGAAGAAAACCUUGAUGCAUUUGAGAAAAUGUUUAACAAAAUUCAACAAGAUGUAGACGCAAGAAAAGAAGAACAGAUGAUGAAAACAUUACAGCAAAUGAAAGUUGAAGAAUCUGAUUCUGAAACAGAAGGACGAGACAAACAGAAACAGUCUAAAUAAAAUGUGAUACAAAUAAGAAAAAGCAGGAAACAGCAAAACAAUAUGGGCAUUUGAACUGUUAAUAAGUGAAUAUUAAAGUUUUUGUUCUGUGUGUUUAAAAAUUACUAGAUAUUUUAGCCUGAUUUUCAAUACUUUUAUAAUCUUUAUUCUCUUCUAAAUUCUGCUGUUCAUUAGAUAUAUUAUUGUUUUACAAUGAUGUCAUGAAAAAGUAAGUAUGUUAUAUUAUAUAUUACAAAUAUGAAUGUCUUUCAGUCUGUAGGUUUGAAGAAUUAUAGUUUUGUACCCACUGAGGUCCGUCUCAUAUCUGAAGGUCAGUUUUCCACAGAGAUGAAUGAGAUUUAAUCUUCAGCCACUCAAAUUAAGAUGUCACAACAUCAGCAUUCAGGUACAUGUCCUGCAGAUCAGUUAGGUUAAGAUAAAACAUGAGAUAUUAUUUUAUAUUUUAUUGAUUUUGCUUUGCCUUUGCUAAGUUAUAUAAAUAAAAUAUUAUGCAUACAAAAGUC